UACAGAGGGUGCGAGCGUUGUUCGGAAUUAUUGGGCGUAAAGGGCGCGUAGGCGGUGCGGUAAGUCACCUGUGAAAUCUCCUGGCUCAACUGGGAGCUUGCAGGCGAAACUGCCGUGCUGGAGUGUGGGAGAGGUGCGUGGAAUUCCUGGUGUAGCGGUGAAAUGCGUAGAUAUCGGGAGGAACACCUGUGGCGAAAGCGGCUCACUGGACCACAACUGACGCUGAGGCGCGAAAGCUAGGGGAGCAAACAGG
RNAcentral lists this ribosomal RNA (253 nucleotides) under uncultured bacterium. RNAcentral's name for it is "partial 16S ribosomal RNA". It matches the Rfam family "Bacterial small subunit ribosomal RNA", at positions 524 to 776 of the family's 1533-position model. The record is from RNAcentral.